This 393-nucleotide ribosomal RNA is filed under the name uncultured bacterium. RNAcentral describes it as "partial 16S ribosomal RNA". It matches the Rfam family "Bacterial small subunit ribosomal RNA", at positions 523 to 918 of the family's 1533-position model. The record is from RNAcentral.
AUACGGAGGAUGCAAGUGUUAUCCGGAUUUAUUGGGUUUAAAGGGUGCGUAGGCGGAUGAUUAAGCGUGAGGUGAAAUGCCACUGCUCAACAGUGGAACUGCCUCGCGAACUGGUUGUCUUGAAUGCUCCUGCCGUGGGAGGAAUGUGUGGUGUAGCGGUGAAAUGCAUAGAGAUUACACAGAACACCGAUUGCGAAGGCAUCUCACGAAGGGUUGAUUGACGCUGAGGCACGGAAGCGUGGGGAUCAAACAGGAUUAGAUACCCUGGUAGUCCACGCAGUAAACGAUGAUGGCUAACCGCUGGUUUAUUCGGAUCAGUGGCCAAGCGAAAGCGAUAAGCCAUCCACCUGGGGAGUACGACCGCAAGGUUGAAACUCAAAUGAAUUGGCGGGG